Molecule: RNase P RNA, 376 nt
Filed under: Muribaculaceae bacterium
Lineage: Bacteria; Pseudomonadati; Bacteroidota; Bacteroidia; Bacteroidales; Muribaculaceae
Description: RNase P RNA component class A
Rfam family: Bacterial RNase P class A
About the family: Ribonuclease P (RNase P) is a ubiquitous endoribonuclease, found in archaea, bacteria and eukarya as well as chloroplasts and mitochondria. Its best characterised activity is the generation of mature 5'-ends of tRNAs by cleaving the 5'-leader elements of precursor-tRNAs.
Source: RNAcentral
AUGGCCGGAGGGUCCGUCGCUCGUCUUCAAUAUAAAGGGCGGGAGGAAAGUCCGGGCAACACAGAGCACCAUAUUUCCUAACGGGAAGCUAUCGGUAACGGUAGAGUAAUGUGACAGAAAAUAACCGCCCCCGCCUGCGGGGGUAAGGGUGAAAAGGUGAGGUAAGAGCUCACCGGGCGCCACAGCGAUAUGGCGUGCCGCACAUCUUAUGGGUUGCAAGGUCAAGUAUACCGGCAUUCAAGGGCUGCUCGUCCAUUGCCGGGGGGUAGACUGCUCACGGCCUCACGGCCAGAUAAAUGACGGACGGUGCGGCGCAUCUCCGGCUUGCCGGAAAGUACGCCCGCCACAUAACCCGGCUUAUACUCCGACCAUGCUU